RNAcentral lists this ribosomal RNA (253 nucleotides) under uncultured bacterium. RNAcentral describes it as "partial 16S ribosomal RNA". It matches the Rfam family "Bacterial small subunit ribosomal RNA", at positions 524 to 776 of the family's 1533-position model. The record is from RNAcentral.
GACAGAGGUGCCGAGCGUUAGGCGGAAUCACUGGGCUUAAAGCGUGUGUAGGCGGGUCGUUAAGUGUCUUGUGAAAUCCCCCGGCUCAACCGGGGAAUGGCUAGGCAUACUGGCGAUCUUGAGCAGUCUAGGGGCAGAUGGAACAAGUGGUGGAGCGGUGAAAUGCGUAGAUAUCACUUGGAACGCCAAAGGUGAAAACAGUCUGCUGGGGACUUGCUGACGCUGAGACACGAAAGCCAGGGGAGCGAACGGG